RNAcentral lists this ribosomal RNA (465 nucleotides) under uncultured bacterium. Its description in RNAcentral is "partial 16S ribosomal RNA". It matches the Rfam family "Bacterial small subunit ribosomal RNA", at positions 338 to 795 of the family's 1533-position model. The record is from RNAcentral.
CCUACGGGAGGCAGCAGUAGGGAAUUUUCGUCAAUGGGCGCAAGCCUGAACGAGCAAUGCCGCGUGAACGAGGAAGGUCUUCGGAUCGGAAAGUUCUGUUGAAGGGGAAAAAGAGCGGAGAGAGGAAAUGAUCGCUGAUUGAUAUUACCCUUCGAGGAAGUCACGGCUAACUACGUGCCAGCAGCCGCGGUAAUACGUAGGUGGCGAGCGUUAUCCGGAAUGAUGGGGCGUAAAGGGUGCGUAGGCGGCCUGCUAAGUCUGGAGUGAAAGGUACCGGCUCAACCGGUACAGGCUCUGGAAACUGGCGGGCUAGAGAGCAGUAGAGGGCGGUGGAACUCCAUGUGUAGCAGUACAAUGCGUAGAUAUAUGGAAGAACACCAGUGGCGAAGGCGGCCGCCUGGCCUGUUGACUGACGCUGCGGCACGAAAGCGUGGGGAGCAAAUAGGAUUAGAUACCCUUGUAGUC